GAUGAACGCUGGCGGCGUGCUUAACACAUGCAAGUCGAACGGAAAGGCUCCUGCUUGCAGGGGUACUCGAGUGGCGAACGGGUGAGUAACACGUGGGUGAUCUGCCCUGCACUUUGGGGUAAGCCUGGGAAACUGGGUCUAAUACCGGAUAGGACCACAUCUUGGAUGGUGUGGUGGAAAGUUUUUCGGGGUGGGAUGAGCUCGCGGCCUAUCAGCUUGUUGGUGGGGUAAUGGCCUACCAAGGCGUCGACGGGUAGCCGGCCUGAGAGGGUGUACGGCCACAUUGGGACUGAGAGACAGCCCAGACUCCUACGGGAGGCAGCAGUGGGGAAUAUUGGACAAUGGGCGCAAGCGUGAUGCAGCGAGGCCGCGGGGGGGAUGACGGCCUUCGGGUUGUAAACUCCUUUCGCUAGGGACGAAGCGUUUUUGUGACGGUACCUGGAGAAGAAGCACCGGCUAACUACGUG
RNAcentral lists this ribosomal RNA (467 nucleotides) under uncultured bacterium. RNAcentral describes it as "partial 16S ribosomal RNA". It matches the Rfam family "Bacterial small subunit ribosomal RNA", at positions 28 to 507 of the family's 1533-position model. The record is from RNAcentral.